AGUGAACGCUGGCGGUGGGCCUAACACAUGCAAGUCGAACGGCAGCACAGUAAGAGCUUGCUCUUACGGGUGGCGAGUGGCGGACGGGUGGGGAAUACAUCGGAAUCUACUUUUUCGUGGGGGAUAACGUAGGGAAACUUACGCUAAUACCGCAUACGACCUACGGGUGAAAGCAGGGGAUCUUCGUACCUUUCGCGAUUGAAUGAGCCGAUGCCGGAUUAGCUAGUUGGCGGGGUAAAGGCCCACCAAGGCGAGGAUCCGUAGCGGGUCUGAGAGGAUGAUCGGCCACACUGGAACUGAGACACGGUCCAGACUCCUACGGGAGGCAGCAGUGGGGAAUAUUGGACAAUGGGCGAAAGCCUGAUGCAGCCAUACCGCGUGGGUGAAGAAGGCCUUCGGGUUGUAAAGCCCUUUUGUUGGGGAAGAAAAGCAGCAGGUUAAUACCCCGCUGUUCUGACGGUACCCAAAGAAUAAGCACCGGCUAACUUCGUG
This 492-nucleotide ribosomal RNA is filed under the name uncultured bacterium. Its description in RNAcentral is "partial 16S ribosomal RNA". It matches the Rfam family "Bacterial small subunit ribosomal RNA", at positions 29 to 507 of the family's 1533-position model. The record is from RNAcentral.